This 311-nucleotide long non-coding RNA is filed under the name Actinidia chinensis (golden kiwifruit). Its description in RNAcentral is "long non-coding RNA (ACHI_LNC000101)". The record is from RNAcentral. Lineage: Eukaryota; Viridiplantae; Streptophyta; Magnoliopsida; Ericales; Actinidiaceae.
AAGAGGUGGUAGGGUGAUUUUAGACUAUUCUUAGACUCAUCUUAUCCUUCCUCGGCCCUAGCAUUGGAACACUGUGGCUUUGAGACCACAUAAUACAAAUGCUCCAAUUUCCUUUUAAAAUCGGGAAUUUCACAAGAUGUUUGGGCUUUUCAAUUGCUUCGAAUGCAGUUCAGCAGGAGUUAAUUCCAGACACGAUCGUAUUUGUGGUUGAAUAAUUGAAUCGGGUUUAAUAUAUGUUUACCUUUAGCUGUAAGGUUCAUUUCCACGUAAACAAAAAAAUUUGCACCGUAUUCUUGAUGGCCUCUCGGGUG